UACGGAGGGGGCUAGCGUUAUUCGGAAUUAUUGGGCGUAAAGGGCGUGUAGGCGGCUUCGUAAGUCUCAUUGUGAAAGCCCUCGGCUCAACCAAGGAACUGCAUGGGAAACUGCGGAGCUUGAGUCCGGGAGAGGAGAGCGGAAUUCCCAGUGUAGCGGUGAAAUGCGUAGAUAUUGGGAGGAACACCGGUGGCGAAGGCGGCUCUCUGGACCGGUACUGACGCUGAGACGCGAAAGCUAGGGGAGCAAACGGG
Molecule: ribosomal RNA, 254 nt
Filed under: uncultured bacterium
Lineage: Bacteria
Description: partial 16S ribosomal RNA
Rfam family: Bacterial small subunit ribosomal RNA
Source: RNAcentral